CUGAGGUGUUGGCGCAGCGGUUUUGCGCUAGGAGCUGGGGUCCGAAGGGCCAGGCAUGAGGUCUCUGCAUGCAUCCCCCUAGGAGCAAGUGAAACUAAAGAAAGCACAAAGGAGAAAAAAAAGGAAAAAAAUAAAGAAUGGUAUACAUUCAAACCUCUGUGCCAUAAUAAAGAAAUACACCGAGUCACAAUAACUGGAAAGGACUACUGAGAGUGUUGGAGAGCUCAGAUAAAGUUUAUAAUGGAAACCAUGAAAAGGAUUGGAAAGCUGUCAUCGUUUGCUAAUACAUUCUGCAAUGACUGCUUAAAAGCAAAACAUGGAAUUAAAUGUCAACCACACUUGAUUUGGAAACUAAGCCUUUCUCAUGUUUGACUUAUGCUGGGAUACUGACAUCUGAGCCACGAGUUCCAUGAAAUGCACUUUGGGAUACGUAAAUAAAG
Molecule: long non-coding RNA, 440 nt
Organism: Vicugna pacos (alpaca)
Lineage: Eukaryota; Metazoa; Chordata; Mammalia; Artiodactyla; Camelidae
Source: RefSeq, a predicted model, not a curated record